CUUAAUACAAAAUGAGCAAUCCUACACCUAUUUAUACUUGGCCACUUCUUCAAUCAAUGUCCAAGAUUUAUCCAACACAACUUUAAUCUAAUGGCUACAAAUCAGCUUCUACACAAUUCUACAAAAAUAUCCACUCUCUAGAUCACUCCAUACUUAUCUAUAUCAUUCUACUAUUCUAAAGAUAUUUCUAGAGCACAUUUCU
RNAcentral lists this long non-coding RNA (202 nucleotides) under Nicotiana benthamiana. RNAcentral's name for it is "long non-coding RNA (NBEN_LNC037538)". The record is from RNAcentral. Lineage: Eukaryota; Viridiplantae; Streptophyta; Magnoliopsida; Solanales; Solanaceae.